Molecule: transfer RNA, 73 nt
Filed under: Mus musculus (house mouse)
Lineage: Eukaryota; Metazoa; Chordata; Mammalia; Rodentia; Muridae
Rfam family: tRNA
About the family: Transfer RNA (tRNA) molecules are approximately 80 nucleotides in length.
Source: Rfam by way of RNAcentral
GGGGAGAUGGCUUAGCUGGUAAAGUACUUUUCUUCCAAAUAAGAGUAUGUGUGUUCAAACCUCAGUUUCCACA